AUUCUUUUAGUAUAAAAAAUAUAUUUGAUUUCCAAUCAAGAGAUCUUAAGCAUAAGAAAGAAUA
This 64-nucleotide transfer RNA is filed under the name Antilochus russus. RNAcentral describes it as "tRNA-Gly". Lineage: Eukaryota; Metazoa; Arthropoda; Insecta; Hemiptera; Pyrrhocoridae. The record is from RNAcentral.